Long non-coding RNA from Gymnogyps californianus (California condor), 672 nucleotides. RefSeq lists it as uncharacterized. The record is from RefSeq and is a predicted model, not a curated record. The transcript is spliced from 4 exons. Lineage: Eukaryota; Metazoa; Chordata; Aves; Accipitriformes; Cathartidae.
UUUUGUAUAGUUUAAUUCUUUUAGUAUUACUAUUGUCAUAUUAUCAUUAUCAUUAUUUUUCAUUCCUUUCUGUCCUAUUAAACUGUCUUUAUCUCAACUCACGAGGUUGUUUUUUUUUUUUUUUCCUGAUUCUCUCCCCCAUCCCAGGGGUGGGGGGGCAGUGAGCGAGCGGCUGCGUGGUGCUUAGCUGCCGGCUGGGGUUAAACCACGACAAGUACAAAGGCUGGAGCAGCUCCGACCUCCCUGCUGGAGGGAGUAGAGGAAGGUCAGCAGUGGAGACGAGACAGGAUCGGAACUGUCAAGAAACUCUUAGCCUGUCACCACCCCGAGGACACCCUGGGCAGGACAAUCUGAGGAUGCCAACCUACUUCUGCCCACCGCCGGGGCAAUGCUGUGUCUCAGCGUGGACUGAAAAGCCUUGAGCCGGUUGGUAAUGGAGCCGGGAGUGCUGAAAUUGGCGCGCUUCCAGACAUUUGCACCCAACGCCUUUCCCUUGGACCAAGCGCUCCUGGAAGCUGGAAAUCCCAAGUUCAGCAGCGCUUUCUCCAUGAGUUCGGACUGGGAAGCUGGCGUGGAAAAGCCCAUUUUCCUUUGAGCAUGCGGCGGUGACCACAGGAGCAUCCUGGCAAAGCCCUGGGACGGAGAAGAACCUAGCUGGUCCCUUGCGCUGUG